Molecule: non-coding RNA, 82 nt
Organism: Cercophora newfieldiana
Lineage: Eukaryota; Fungi; Ascomycota; Sordariomycetes; Sordariales; Lasiosphaeriaceae
Source: the annotation of a GenBank genome assembly
GGUUGUAUAGUGUAGCGGUUAUCACACCAGAUUCUGAUUCUCCAGUGUUCUGGUAACCCCGGUUCGAUUCCGGGUACGACCU